RNAcentral lists this transfer RNA (63 nucleotides) under Biomphalaria tenagophila. RNAcentral describes it as "tRNA-Trp". Lineage: Eukaryota; Metazoa; Mollusca; Gastropoda; Planorbidae. The record is from RNAcentral.
UAUUAGGUUAUUUUAUUAAACCUUUGACCUUCAAAGUCAAAAAACUCUUGAUAUUUUGUUUGU